This 287-nucleotide ribosomal RNA is filed under the name uncultured Synergistaceae bacterium. Its description in RNAcentral is "partial 16S ribosomal RNA". It matches the Rfam family "Bacterial small subunit ribosomal RNA", at positions 1098 to 1382 of the family's 1533-position model. The record is from RNAcentral. Lineage: Bacteria; Thermotogati; Synergistota; Synergistia; Synergistales; Synergistaceae.
AACCCCUACGCAUUCAGUUGCCAUCGGGUAAUGCCGGGCGACUCUGGAAGGACUGCCAUCGACAAGAUGGAGGAAGGUGGGGAUGACGUCAAGUCAUCAUGGCCCUUAUGUCCAGGGCGACACACGUGCUACAAUGGCCGGCACAACGGGAAGCGAGUUCGCGAGGACGAGCGGAUCCCUCAAAGCCGGUCGCAGUUCGGAUUGAAGUCUGCAACUCGACUUCAUGAAGCUGGAAUCGCUAGUAAUCGUGGAUCAGCCAAGCCGCGGUGAAUACGUUCCCGGGCCUU